RNAcentral lists this ribosomal RNA (253 nucleotides) under uncultured bacterium. RNAcentral's name for it is "partial 16S ribosomal RNA". It matches the Rfam family "Bacterial small subunit ribosomal RNA", at positions 524 to 776 of the family's 1533-position model. The record is from RNAcentral.
UACGUAGGGUGCAAGCGUUGUCCGGAAUUAUUGGGCGUAAAGAGCUCGUAGGCGGUCUGUUGCGUCGGCUGUGAAAACCCGGGGCUCAACUCCGGGCCUGCAGUCGAUACGGGCAAGCUAGAGUAUUGCAGGGGAGACUGGAAUUCCUGGUGUAGCGGUGAAAUGCGCAGAUAUCAGGAGGAACACCAGUGGCGAAGGCGGGUCUCUGGGCCGAUAUCGACGCUGAGGAGCGAAAGCGUGGGGAGCGAACAGG